Molecule: small nuclear RNA, 108 nt
Filed under: Peromyscus maniculatus bairdii (prairie deer mouse)
Lineage: Eukaryota; Metazoa; Chordata; Mammalia; Rodentia; Cricetidae
Source: RNAcentral
GUGCUCAUUUCAUCAGCAUUAGAUACUAAAAUUGGAAUUAUACAGAAUAGAUUAAUGAGACCCUCAUGCAAGGAUGAUGCACAAAUUUGUGAAGCAUUUCAAAUUUUU